AGAGUUUGAUCCUGGCUCAGGACGAACGCUGGCGGCGUGCCUAAUACAUGCAAGUCGAGCGGGACUCUUCGGAGUCCAGCGGCGGACGGGUGAGUAACACGUGGGCAACCUGCCUGUAAGACUGGGAUAACUCCGGGAAACCGGGGCUAAUACCGGAUAAGUUGUUCCUCCGCAUGGAGGAACAUUGAAAGAUGGCUUCG
RNAcentral lists this ribosomal RNA (200 nucleotides) under uncultured bacterium. RNAcentral's name for it is "partial 16S ribosomal RNA". It matches the Rfam family "Bacterial small subunit ribosomal RNA", at positions 8 to 216 of the family's 1533-position model. The record is from RNAcentral.